Molecule: long non-coding RNA, 598 nt
Filed under: Malus domestica (apple)
Lineage: Eukaryota; Viridiplantae; Streptophyta; Magnoliopsida; Rosales; Rosaceae
Description: long non-coding RNA (MDOM_LNC015579)
Source: RNAcentral
GCAAAUUAAGCGUGCACUCUCAACCAACAUACCAGAAUAAGUUCUAAAUCAAACGGUUAAGCAAAUUGUAUUCACGACUUAUACAACGAUAACUGAAAGUAAUCAACUUAUUUCACAUAUAUAAUCAUGGUUUUGAAUCCACCCUUAGCCAAAACAAAUUUAGCCAAUCAUACUUAAAGCAAAACAAAGAUUAUAUGAAUUAGACAUUGAAAUAUAAGAUAGAAAACACCUAAAAUCGUUCAACAACUCAGAAUGAAGAGCCAAACAAUCAUAGUGAAUAUGUCCCCUUCCUUGCUUGCGGCAGAUUGGGUUGUGAAGAUGUUUUGGGUAGUUUUAUGGUGUAGAAUUGAUGGGGAAUGGUAUGGAGAGGUUUAGGGCGAGUGUGGAGGAGUGUUUGAUGGUUGGAGGAUGGUAGAGAACUCGGCAAAGAGGGUGGAAGAAGGUGGAGUGGCUGUUAUGUUUUCUGGGCACUAGAAUGGUGUUUUUGGGGUGUUUGGCUGCCUAGGGUGUGCAUGGACGAAUUUUCUGUGAUGAAUGAUGAAUAUGGGAGGUUCAACCCUUUGCCAAGGGUUGUAAACAUGUAUAUAUAGGCCCCAAA